GGACUACCCGGGUUUCUAAUCCUGUUUGCUCCCCACGCUUUCGCGCCUCAGCGUCAGUUUCGAGCCAGUAAGCCGCCUUCGCCACUGGUGUUCUUGCGAAUAUCUACGAAUUUCACCUCUACACUCGCAGUUCCACUUACCUCUCUCGAACUCAAGACAAACAGUAUCAAAGGCAGUUCCAAGGUUGAGCCUUGGGAUUUCACCCCUGACUUAUUCGCCCGCCUACGCGCCCUUUACGCCCAGUAAAUCCGAACAACGCUAGCCCCCUUCGUAUUACCGCGGCUGCUGGCAC
RNAcentral lists this ribosomal RNA (292 nucleotides) under uncultured bacterium. RNAcentral's name for it is "partial 16S ribosomal RNA". The record is from RNAcentral.